RNAcentral lists this transfer RNA (44 nucleotides) under Escherichia coli DEC14C. RNAcentral's name for it is "partial tRNA-Lys". It matches the Rfam family "tRNA", at positions 1 to 43 of the family's 71-position model. Rfam says of the family: Transfer RNA (tRNA) molecules are approximately 80 nucleotides in length. Their secondary structure includes four short double-helical elements and three loops (D, anti-codon, and T loops). The record is from RNAcentral. Lineage: Bacteria; Pseudomonadati; Pseudomonadota; Gammaproteobacteria; Enterobacterales; Enterobacteriaceae.
GGGUCGUUAGCUCAGUUGGUAGAGCAGUUGACUUUUAAUCAAUU